UACGUAGGGUGCAAGCGUUAUCCGGAAUUAUUGGGCGUAAAGAGCUCGUAGGCGGUUUGUCGCGUCUGCUGUGAAAACUGGGGGCUCAACCCCGAGCCUGCAGUGGGUACGGGCAGACUAGAGUGCGGUAGGGGAGAUUGGAAUUCCUGGUGUAGCGGUGGAAUGCGCAGAUAUCAGGAGGAACACCGGUGGCGAAGGCGGGUCUCUGGGCAGUAACUGACGCUGAGGAGCGAAAGCGUGGGGAGCGAACAGG
This 253-nucleotide ribosomal RNA is filed under the name uncultured bacterium. RNAcentral's name for it is "partial 16S ribosomal RNA". It matches the Rfam family "Bacterial small subunit ribosomal RNA", at positions 524 to 776 of the family's 1533-position model. The record is from RNAcentral.